This 500-nucleotide ribosomal RNA is filed under the name uncultured bacterium. RNAcentral describes it as "bacterial SSU rRNA". It matches the Rfam family "Bacterial small subunit ribosomal RNA", at positions 62 to 543 of the family's 1533-position model. The record is from RNAcentral.
UCGAACGCGAAAGGGGCUUCGGCCCUGAGUAGAGUGGCGAACGGGUGAGUAACACGUGGGUGACCUACCUUCGAAUGGGGGAUAACGUUCCGAAAGGGACGCUAAUACCGCAUAACAUCCUGCCUUUGAACAGGUGGAGAUCAAAGCCGGGGAUCGCAAGACCUGGCGUUUGAAGAGGGGCCCGCGUCCGAUUAGCUAGUUGGUGAGGUAAUGGCUCACCAAGGCAACGAUCGGUAGCCGGCCUGAGAGGGCGGACGGCCACACUGGGACUGAGACACGGCCCAGACUCCUACGGGAGGCAGCAGUGGGGAAUUGUUCGCAAUGGGCGCAAGCCUGACGACGCAACGCCGCGUGGAGGAUGAAGGUCUUCGGAUUGUAAACUCCUGUUGCCCGGGACGAAUGGCUCUGACCUAACACGUCAGAGUGUGACGGUACCGGGUGAGGAAGCCCCGGCUAACUCUGUGCCAGCAGCCGCGGUAAUACAGAGGGGGCAAGCGUUG